AACGAACGCUGGCGGCAGGCUUAACACAUGCAAGUCGAACGAGAUCUUCGGAUCUAGUGGCAGACGGGUGAGGAACACGUGGGAACAUCCCUUUCAGUUCGGAAUAACGUUGGGAAACUAACGCUAAUACCGGAUACGUCCUUCGGGAGAAAGAUUUAUCGCUGAAAGAUUGGCCCGCGUCUGAUUAGCUAGUUGGUGGGGUAAUGGCUCACCAAGGCUACGAUCAGCAGUUGAUCUGAGAGAAUGAUCAGCCACAUUGGGACUGAGACACGGCCCAAACUCCUACGGGAGGCAGCAGUGGGGAAUAUUGGACAAUGGGCGCAAGCCUGAUCCAGCCAUGCCGCGUGAGUGAUGACGGCCUUCGGGUUGUAAAGCUCUUUUGUCCGGGAAGAUAAUGACUGUACCGGAAGAAUAAGCCCCGGCAAACUUCGUGCCAGCAGCCGCAGUAA
RNAcentral lists this ribosomal RNA (449 nucleotides) under uncultured bacterium. Its description in RNAcentral is "partial 16S ribosomal RNA". It matches the Rfam family "Bacterial small subunit ribosomal RNA", at positions 29 to 523 of the family's 1533-position model. The record is from RNAcentral.